This 1241-nucleotide long non-coding RNA is filed under the name Zea mays. Its description in RNAcentral is "drought responsive lncRNA". Lineage: Eukaryota; Viridiplantae; Streptophyta; Magnoliopsida; Poales; Poaceae. The record is from RNAcentral.
GGCAGAUCUGGGCCUAGUCUGCAUAUACCGAGUAGAAUAGAGAGGGGAGAGGGCUAGGGUUCAGAGCACGACGAGCCAUAACUUCAACAAGCAGCGGGCGGGUCUCGGGCGGCGCGCGGGCGCUUGGUGGACGACGCUCAAGCGGAGGCGGGCAGCGCUUGGGAGUCAGGCGUGCGACCUUGCGGCUGUGCUCAGGCGGGGCGUUGCGUGAAGCGCUAGGGAGUCGGGUGUGCGACGGGCGGCGCUCGUUCCUCAGGCAUGUGCGGACGACGCUCAGACGCAUGGCUGUGUCGACCACUUGCAGACGACGCCGACACAGAUCCAGGUCCAGGUCCAGGUUAAGUAUUGUUUUUUGGUGUGUGGACGUGAUUCUUCUAGUGAGAUAUGUUCUGAAGCGGCAAGGUAAACCCUCUUAGUCUACUUGUUUAACUUUUAAAAUAUACCCAUCGGUUUGAAUGAUGCAAAACUACAAUAAUCUUCAUGUACUUGAUUGACUAAUGAGUUGGAUAUGAUUCGUAUUCUAUUUCUUAAAAAAGUAAGGCAGAAGAUAGCUAGAUUCAUGAUUUGGCAAAUACAACCUCAAAUUAACUUGCCUAUUCAUCGAUUAUGUUCAGGAAAUAAUGUAUCAAUUAAUUGAAGGAAGUAAUAGUAGUGGCUCAUCUAGAACUCAUUCGAUUCCUAGUUCUAACUAUGACCACUAACUUUUGCCUUGCUAGCUGGCUAUGUACAAGCCUGCAACACAUUCUUAUGAUACCAUCAUGUCAUUAAAUGUCAAGGGCUGAGUAUCCCCGGACAGCAGGGCCUCGACUACGCAGUUCGUAGUCGUGACCCAUCUUCUCCGGCGAGAUUUUGCCCCUCAGCCACAGGUUUUGUUGGUGAGUGGAGAGGAGAGAUUAGAGAGAAUAAACUUUGCUUAAUCCUUCCAGCCGGCUGGUUACACAUAUAUAUAUGGCCGAUCGGCCCUAAUAAACUAGAGAUAAUUACUCCUUGAUCCUAGGGAUAGCUAUCUAAUCAUUCCUAACAACCAGCCCCUCCCCCCUAAAUCUUCUCCUUAAUUCUAGGAACUUGAAACAAAAAGUAACCAUGUUCUAUCUGUAACAAACCAGUGCGUGCGCGCCUAACCGCCCACGCGUAUCGCACGCUCUUUUGCCCGGCGCACGUCGUUGGCGCGCCUGCGCCUGGUGUAGUUCAUGGAGCAUGGUUACCACCUUGGUUUGCGGCACAAUAUGCUCAUUACGCGG